ACUCUCAGUUCGGAUUGAAGUCUGCAACCCGACUUCAUGAAGCUGGAUUCGCUAGUAAUCGCGCAUCAGCCACGGCGCGGUGAAUACGUUCCCGGGCCUUGUACACACCGCCCGUCAAGCCAUGGGAGCCGGGGGUACCUGAAGUGCGUAACCGAACAAGGAGCGCCCUAGGGUAAAACUGGUGACUGGGGCUAAGUCGUAACAAGGUAAC
Molecule: ribosomal RNA, 211 nt
Filed under: uncultured bacterium
Lineage: Bacteria
Description: partial 16S ribosomal RNA
Rfam family: Bacterial small subunit ribosomal RNA
Source: RNAcentral